UCUCAUUCCAUAAAUAUCUGCUGUAUACUUUCCAUGUAUAAGACAUUACACUUGGCUCCACAGGAGAUACAUGCAGGGGACAUAAAGAGAGUAAAAGGCAGUCUCAGCUCACAUACAGGUGCAGACAGCCUCAGGUAGAAGAAGCUCAAACCAUCCUAAUAGAGAAAUCAACCCCAUUCCCACUGAAGGCAAAUGAUACUCCAUGAGGGCUUCCUACAUGGCUGUCCACCAACAUUUCCCUGCUUAAAUUAUGGGAACCAUUAAUGCUGAAGGGCUGAAAAGGAGAGGUGUGCUCGGCUGAAACUAACACGCCCCAGUAUGCCUUUACUCUUGAACUUCAUUCGCCCUCUACUACCUUAACAUCUCUACUAUCUUAACAGAGUAUCCCCCAACUCUGAAAUUACCAAUA
Molecule: long non-coding RNA, 409 nt
Organism: Odocoileus virginianus texanus
Lineage: Eukaryota; Metazoa; Chordata; Mammalia; Artiodactyla; Cervidae
Source: RefSeq, a predicted model, not a curated record